Non-coding RNA from Rattus norvegicus (Norway rat), 1448 nucleotides. The record is from RefSeq and is a predicted model, not a curated record. Lineage: Eukaryota; Metazoa; Chordata; Mammalia; Rodentia; Muridae.
GACCCUUCAUGUUCCAGGGGCUUGUGACAAAGUGGCUCCUGAGCCGACCCGGCCAUGUCACUGGGAGCACAAAGGACACUGCCAAGAAAGUGAUUUUAAACCUAAUUGUUCCCGUUCCUUUUGUUAAAUGUCUUGAGGGGUGCCUGGAGAUCGGAGAGCGCGGGGAAGGAGCACACCACGGAACUUGUAAACAAGAUUGAGGCACAGACACUUCUGCCUAAAAAACGAGAAGUGCCCCACGACACUGCUGCUUCGUGCAAAUUUUUACACGCUGGGUACAACCCCUGCACAAACGUUCGAGGAAAACCAUCCCAGCUCCCUCCUGGCCUGGGGUGGGUUUGCGGCUGGGGGCCAUCUUUGGUGACCAGCUUCUCCUGCAGCCGAGCGGGCAGGGGACACUUAAUUGUGGAGCCGGUUUGCUGGCAGGAAGCCCUGCCUCGUCCAGCGGGCAGCCAGCAUGAUAAUGAGACAGUUUCUAUGGAAAUGAACUUAUAACUAUUCAUUUUCUCCCCAUUCCCGACCCAUCCACAAAGAGGGUUUCCAAAAUGACCCCCAUUUUCCUACCCCCAACAUCUCCUCACACCAUCGCCCGACCCGCUAAUCAGCUCGGGGGGGAGAAAGGAAAGAGGAAAUGCCGUCCUUUGACAAGAUGUGGGAAACCACCUCGAUUUGUGCUCCGUGUGGCUGUGACCAGAAAACAAAGAACCCUCGCCGGAUCCGGGGGCCAAGUUUCAAGUAAACUUUUCCGGACGCACCAAGCCAAGUGUGUUUUUGUGUGUACUUUCUGGUACUGCCUCUCUCUGGUCCUCUGCCGUCCGUGACAGAUAUGCUGACUCCAGGUUCUCUAUGAGGAAUCCUGACUCCAGCACCUCAGAACGUGGCCGUAUGAAAACGGGGUGUUUAUUAAAGAUGUCUGUCGUUCGGAUGAGGCCAGUGGGAUGGGGCUUAGCCAGCAUAGUGUGUACCUCUGUAAGAAGAGAUCAAGACUCGGACACACACAGGACAGUCCUUCGACGUCACUGUGGGGAAGUUCCACGUUCAAGCUGAGGAGAGAAGCCUCUGGAAGAGCCAGCUCAGAGACCUUGGGCUUCUGACCUCCAGAACUAUAUCUGAGCUUUCUGUAGGCCUGUGUUCAGGUCACUUCCUUAUGGUUGCUGAAACAGACACAGUGUGUUCUUACUUUCUCGUGGGUUGUCUACCUGUCUGCGUCUCUGUGUCCAGGGCCCCAGGUGUAUAUUCCUGGCAGAGCCUGCUGGCUUCCCUAAGGGCUGCAGGUACAUUAACUUCCUAAUCAUUUUAAAAGAAAAAUAACGAACCCUCAUCUCAGGCCCUUCUUCCUCCACAAAUGCUGUAGCCUCCCCUAGAAUUAGAAUAUAAAAAUCACAGAUCUCUCCAGGUCUUGUGAGAUCAAUUUAAAAAAAAAAUACCAAUUUUUGAAAUUCGAGGCA